UCACCCCUCAAGCCCCGUGCUUGGUGUUGGACGGCCUGGUCGAGGUGCCCUCGACCCCUCCUAAAGACAAUGACGGCGGCCUGUGGUUCCCCCGGUACACUGAGCUUUUAACUGAGCACGUAUCGGACAAGGGCGCCCGGGACCCGGUCCUCUCCUUUCACAAGGAAACUUUUUCAA
This 177-nucleotide unclassified non-coding RNA is filed under the name Cladophialophora sp. RNAcentral's name for it is "partial internal transcribed spacer 2". Lineage: Eukaryota; Fungi; Ascomycota; Eurotiomycetes; Chaetothyriales; Herpotrichiellaceae. The record is from RNAcentral. RNAcentral also lists the same sequence under 1 other name.